This 198-nucleotide ribosomal RNA is filed under the name uncultured Halomonas sp. RNAcentral's name for it is "partial 16S ribosomal RNA". It matches the Rfam family "Bacterial small subunit ribosomal RNA", at positions 335 to 525 of the family's 1533-position model. The record is from RNAcentral. Lineage: Bacteria; Pseudomonadati; Pseudomonadota; Gammaproteobacteria; Oceanospirillales; Halomonadaceae.
ACUCCUACGGGAGGCAGCAGUGGGGAAUUUUGGACAAUGGGGGCAACCCUGAUCCAGCCAUGCCGCGUGAGUGAAGAAGGCCUUCGGGUUGUAAAGCUCUUUCGGCCGGGAAGAAAUCGUGCAGGCUAAUACCCUGUAUGGAUGACGGUACCGGAAUAAGAAGCACCGGCUAACUACGUCGGACCAGCCGCGGUAAUA